UAUUGUGAUGACAAGUUGUCGCCCCAGGCGGAUCUAUUCAGUGUAUAUUAUUUCUAUUUAAGUAUAAAAUAAUGUGCAGUCGGAAAUGACAGAAAUAUAACAACAAGCCAAACACUGAAAAUUCUGAUA
Molecule: small nucleolar RNA, 129 nt
Filed under: Tetrapisispora phaffii CBS 4417
Lineage: Eukaryota; Fungi; Ascomycota; Saccharomycetes; Saccharomycetales; Saccharomycetaceae
Source: RNAcentral